This 120-nucleotide small nuclear RNA is filed under the name Helianthus annuus (common sunflower). Its description in RNAcentral is "U5 spliceosomal RNA". It matches the Rfam family "U5 spliceosomal RNA". Rfam says of the family: U5 RNA is a component of both types of known spliceosome. The precise function of this molecule is unknown, though it is known that the 5' loop is required for splice site selection and p220 binding, and that both the 3' stem-loop and the Sm site are important for Sm protein binding and cap methylation. The record is from RNAcentral. Lineage: Eukaryota; Viridiplantae; Streptophyta; Magnoliopsida; Asterales; Asteraceae.
UUACAUGCAGUGAAUACAAAGCGAACUAUUCUUUCGUCUUUUACUAAAGAAUACCGCGUAUUCGCUGCUUUUAAGUGGCAUACGCCUAUUUUUGGAGAGACCCUUCAACUACUGAAGGGC